AGGGUGUAAACGCUGCAGACUUGGUGUUGGAAGCCCUUUGGGGGCAUUCAGUGCCGGAGAGAAGUUGUUAAGUCUGCUACUUGGGGAGUACGUCCGCAAGGAUGAAACUUAAAGGAAUUGGCGGGGGAGCACCGCAACGGGAGGAGCGUGCGGUUUAAUUGGAUUCAACACCGUAAAACUACACCAGGGAAGACUGUUACAUGAAGGCCGAGAUGAAGACUCUGCCAGAUUUCUAGAGAGGAGGUGCAUGGCGUCAGUGACU
Molecule: ribosomal RNA, 262 nt
Filed under: uncultured archaeon
Lineage: Archaea
Description: partial 16S ribosomal RNA
Rfam family: Archaeal small subunit ribosomal RNA
Source: RNAcentral